CGAAAUUCCUUGUCGGGCAAGUUCCGACCUGCACGAAUGGCAUAAUGAUGGCCACACUGUCUCCUCCUGAGACUCAGUGAAGUUGAAAUGUUUGUGAUGAUGCAAUCUCCCCGCGGCUAGACGGAAAGACCCCAUGAACCUUUACUGCAGCUUUGCAUUGGACUUUGAACCGAUCUGUGUAGGAUAGGUGGGAGGCAGUGAAGCUAGGACGCCAGUCUUAGCGGAGCCAACCUUGAAAUACCACCCUGAUUUGUUUGAGGUUCUAACCUAGGAGCGUAAUCCGCUUCGGGGACCGUGCAUGGUAGGCAGUUUGACUGGGGCGGUCUCCUCCUAAAGGGUAACGGAGGAGUGCGAAGGUACGCUAGGUACGGUCGGAAAUCGUGCUGAUAGUGCAAUGGCAAAAGCGUGCUUGACUGCGAGACCGACAAGUCGAGCAGAUACGAAAGUAGGUCAUAGUGAUCCGGUGGCUCUGCAUGGAAGGGCCAUCGCUCAACGGAUAAAAGGUACUCCGGGGAUAACAGGCUGAUUCCGCCCAAGAGUUCAUAUCGACGGCGGUGUUUGGCACCUCGAUGUCGGCUCAUCUCAUCCUGGGGCUGUAGCCGGUCCCAAGGGUAUGGCUGUUCGCCAUUUAAAGAGGUACGUGAGCUGGGUUUAAAACGUCGUGAGACAGUUUUGUCCCUAUCUGCCGUGGGCGUUGGAAGAUUGACGGGGGCUGCUCCUAGUACGAGAGGACCGGAGUGGACUCACCUCUGGUGUACCGGUUGUCACGCCAGUGGCAUCGCCGGGUAGCUAUGUGGGGAAAGGAUAACCGCUGAAAGCAUCUAAGCGGGAAACCUGCCUGAAGAUAAGUCUUCCUGGAGGCUUUGACCUCCCUGAAGAGUCGUUCGAGACCAGGACGUUGAUAGGUUGGAUGUGCAAGCGCUGUGAGGCGUUGAGCUGACCAAUACUAAUUGCUCGUGAAGCUUGAUCCU
This 971-nucleotide ribosomal RNA is filed under the name human gut metagenome. RNAcentral describes it as "bacterial LSU rRNA". It matches the Rfam family "Bacterial large subunit ribosomal RNA", at positions 1960 to 2925 of the family's 2925-position model. The record is from RNAcentral.